Pipra filicauda (Wire-tailed manakin) is the source of this 413-nucleotide long non-coding RNA. RefSeq lists it as uncharacterized. NCBI's taxonomy places the organism in Eukaryota, Metazoa, Chordata, Aves, Passeriformes, Pipridae. The record is from RefSeq and is a predicted model, not a curated record. The transcript has 2 exons.
GGCGACGCCGGAGCCGGUCACGGACACCAGGAAGCGCCGGGAGCCCAAUCCCUGCAUCCCGAGGGCCACCACGUCCCUGCUGUCCCCACGCUCCCUGUGCCGGGCGCUCACCAGGGCCGGGCAGCGAUGCCGGAAGAAAGCCAUUCCCGGGAAGGACUUGUGCCACAUCCACGCCUCCGGCAGCAGCUCGGCCAUGGAUUCAUCCCCUGCUUUUGACCCUCCACCCCCUCCCUGAGGGCUUUUAAACCCCCUUUCUUUUUUUUUUUUUGGCUCUCCCAGAUCCUGGCGGAGAAUACGUGGAUGCCGUUGGAUGUGGGUUCGGGGCAGAGGCUCCUCAUCCCGCCAAUUUUAGGUUAUUUGCAUAUAUUUGGUUAUUUGCAUAUAUUUUAAUAAAUGCCACGUUUCCAGCUGGA